GGGGAUGUAGUGUACGGUGCACGGCUGCUUUCUUCGGUCGCUGAUCUGACACAUAUAAGCAAGCAGCAAGACGGGGUUCGACUCCCCGCGUCCCCA
Non-coding RNA from Mycena vulgaris, 96 nucleotides. NCBI's taxonomy places the organism in Eukaryota, Fungi, Basidiomycota, Agaricomycetes, Agaricales, Mycenaceae. The record is from the annotation of a GenBank genome assembly.